UUCUUCAUAUCUUGAAUGGCCUGGAUAAUUUUGUUUCAAAUAUUUUAUUAAUUGUUAUUUUUCUAAAAUUGCAAAUAUGUAUUUUGUUUAAAAGCAUAUGUAUAUUUUUGCGAAGCUGAUUUUGUAUGAAACUCUUUGAAAUCCAUGCUAUAGUUUUUCCUACUGGGAUUUCCUCCGUCUCACCCCCUUCCAGUUUCAGGUACCAAAGAUGAUCUUGGAUUGGUAGUUACGGGCUUAGGUAGAAGAGUUGGCGUUGAGGAUUUUAUUUAGAAAAAAUUCGGGGCGUGACAGAAUGGUAUCAAAACCUGUACCCAGCCGGAAGUGUGAGUUUAGUGAUGAUGUUAUCUGGUGUGUGUGUGCGAGUGUUUAGUAUUGACUAGUUACCACUUGUAGCCGGGUGUGUGUGUCCGGAUGUCAUGCACUGGCAGCUAUUGGGAGGAUUACUAUCGGUGAUUAGGGGCAGGUGUCCCUAGAUCACUAUCGGUUUUAUUUUGUGGACGAGUGACGGCAUCGUCUAGUUACCACAACGGUUACACAGUGUGUGGGUGGAUAACUAGCACUGUCAACUACCACAAUAUUUUUUCAUGUCACUGAUUUUCACGUCGCCUGGGGUAAGGAUUUUAGGAUUUUGUUUUACCACUUUUGAUGUUUUCGGGUAUACGAAGAUUGUUCGAUCUGAAUUUCAGGACGAAAUUCUUUUUAAGUGGUGGAGAAUGUAACAACCCGGAUUUUUAAGUGUUGAAAUUCAAUUUAUUUCAUGACAUUUAAAUUGUCAUAGUUGAUAAUUUAAUUUUUUUAUUUGAAGACUUACCCAAUUUAAAUAUUUAUUGGGUUUAAAUUAUUAUCACAAGGUAUGCACUUGUAUAUAUAUAUUUGUGAUAUAUAUAUUAAGUUUGAUUGAGCAUUUAUUUUAAAUUGAAGAUUUACCAAUUAGAAAUUGGUUCAUUGAUUUUUGAAUUGGAGACUAGAGUUUAAAUUUAAUUUUUAUUUCAUUUCAUGAUUUUAGUUAUCAUGGGAGAUGGCAACCGAAAAUUUGUAGAAGAGAGAAGAUUGAAUAUUUUAUUUUAAUUGAAUUUACCCACUUUAGAUUGUUAGUGGAAAUAGAAUUGGUUUACAGCUUUUGUAUAUAUAAAUGACCAUAUAUAUAUAUAUAAAUUGUGGCAUCAGCUUGUGAUGAAGGAGCAAGUUGGUUCCAAAAGUGGACUUGAUUGUAUAUCUAUUUUGGUGAUGAAGGAAGCUUAAUUGAUGGGUUGACCGAGAUUUUAAAAAGAAAAAAGUAAAAUGGAAUUGGUUGUCCGCGGGCCCCACUUGUUAUUUAAAAGAGUUGAGAAUGGUUUGAUUUGGUUAUGAUAUAUAUAUAUAUAUAUAUAUAUAUAUAUAUAUAUAUAUAUAUAUCUUGUCUGCCAAAAUGAGGAGCCGAGAUUGGGAUGAGGUGAAUGGGUACGUGGCAAAAGGUGGAAGCCAAUAUAGGUUUUGAUUUUGUGAUAGUGGGCAAGUCCCACUUGAGAGUAUUAAUGGGUUGAAUUUAUUACAUAUAUAUAUGUAUAUAUAUAUAUAGCAAUUGAUGAAAUGAUGCAUAAAGGGGGCAGCCGAGAUUGUGAAAGGAAGAAAGAUGAAUUAUGGUGGCAGGUCCCAUUAAUUGAUAUUUUGGCAUUAUUUAUUUGACUUUGGCUUUUUUUCACGUUUUGAAUGAUUUUAGAUUGCAUUCUUUGUAUUUGGAAUUUGAUUGUUAAAGUGAUAUAUGAAGUGAUAAGGAAAAGUAAGAGAUAAAGGUGAUGGCGAGUCCACUAAAGUUUGUUGUCCCCUAAGCAAUUGAAUUGAUUCAUUUUAGUUUAUUUGUGAAGUGUCGGUACAAUUGUCUAUAUAUAUUGUGCCUUUUGGUGAUGAUACAGAAGAGAGAAAUAAAGGAAACAUUCACAGAAAGAUCCGAGAGUUUCAGAGGGGGCUGGGAGCAGUGAUGUUGAUGACCAGUGUUGAUUUAUUCAUUUUACAGAUUUCAGGUACUGAGGAUGCUUGAGGAUUUUUAGCUUCGGGCUUAGGUGGAAGAGUUGGUGUUGAGGAAUUAAAUUAUUUUAUUUAAAAAAUUUUAUGUAUUUAUUUGAGGAAAUUGAUUUAGUAUCAAUAUAAUUAAUUUGAGAUGUUGUCUUGUUUAUUUGAGGAAAUUUGAUUGAUUUUGUAUCAAUAAAGGGUAUUUUAUUUCUUUUGAGAUCCUGUGUGUCUUUUAUGAAGUAUUUUGAUUUGAAUAAAUCGAGGAUUUUAUUUAGAAAAAUUCGGGGCGUUACAAGCUGCACAAGCUAAAUGACUAACUGGAUUACUUGCUACUUAUGUUUAAGUCAGAUCAGCUGCACAAGUUCAAUGACUGACUGGAUUACUUGCUACUUAUAUUUAAGUCAGAUCAGCUAAACAAGUUGAAUGACUACUUGGAUUUCUUAUGGAUGGAUAUGAUAGGAUUUUUAUAUAUAUAAUUAUGGUACCACGAUAUGAGCUUGAGUCUCAGGAUCGAUGGUUAGGGAGUAUAUAUGCAUUGGGAUGCAUAAUUAGCUUUGAUGGUAGAUGUAUACCCUGUUAGGUCUAGGUACUCAUGCCCACCUCUGGUGCGUGUUGCAUGUUGUCUUCUAUUCAGGUUAAGACCCCCUUUGUAGUCCAGUGAGAGUCCCUUAGUGUGGAUAUAUAUUUGUAUAGAAUAGAUUAGAUAUUGUUGAGUUAUCUAGGCUAUAUCUGCGUAUCAGGUCUCUGUUUGGAUUGUAAAUAGGAUGUAACCUGUUCGUGGGCCUGACCCACUAUUAUUG
This is an RNA transcript of Cornus florida, 2789 nucleotides long. RefSeq lists it as uncharacterized. Lineage: Eukaryota; Viridiplantae; Streptophyta; Magnoliopsida; Cornales; Cornaceae. The transcript has 2 exons. The record is from RefSeq and is a predicted model, not a curated record.